Molecule: ribosomal RNA, 36 nt
Filed under: Prospero obtusifolium
Lineage: Eukaryota; Viridiplantae; Streptophyta; Magnoliopsida; Asparagales; Asparagaceae
Source: RNAcentral
GAGUGCGAUCAUACCAGUACUACAACACCGAAUUCC